CUCUGAGCUACAUAGAAAAGGUCAAGGGAGUUGUGAGAUUAAUGUACAGUUUGAGAAUCAAUGUUUCACCAUGUACCCACAGGGGAUAUCCAACACACUGAGAGCCCUGAGAAUCAGCUGUCCACUCAAGAUGGUGUAAGAUUACAAAACACACAGGCAAGAGUUUCUGUGUGUACUACUUGGAAGUAGUUUGAUCUUUGCCAUAUUCUGCCGUUGCCAAGAUUUGCCUCGCCACAGAACAAUCCGGGACUCGGUUACCUGUUGUGAGCGGAGACAGCUUCCUGGAGGUCAUGGAGGUAGCGCUGAGGGGUUUGGUUAUCGUCUGCUUCCUCUGGGAGAGGGUGGUGGUCGAGGCUGCUUCGGGACAACCCACGACUGUGUAAAAAGACAGAUUGUGGACAUUGAUUUAAAAAAAAAAGGGAAAUUUAAAAAGUGAGUGUGUAAUCGUCUUCUUAUUAAAGUGGCAGAUUAUUUCCCCAAGUGGUUGAAUCCAGACACCAAUGAAAACAAUGUGAGAUGAAAUAAAAGUCAUGAUGAUGUUCUAUAUGCAUAUGGUCUUCGUAAUAAUAUUUAACAUAAUUCUUGUUGAUGAAUCUGUUUAAAAGGAACACACUGGUGAUUUAGCAUGUCUUAGCCCUUUAAAGACAAAUGGAGCUCUUCACUGUCGACCAUUUCCUAAAGCAUGACACCAAAAAAAAAAAAGGAAAUAUUGUUGCUUCAAAUAAUAGGAUAUCUGAGUAGUUCACCAGCUGAACUGAUGGAUCAUCAUGUACUGGACAUUACGUUUGUCUAAACGAGGAGACAGACCUCGAUGUGACAGAUGGACUUACUAACUGGAUCAAUAAAAAUAUAAUUUUACACAGUCA
Dicentrarchus labrax (European seabass) is the source of this 866-nucleotide long non-coding RNA. RefSeq lists it as uncharacterized. NCBI's taxonomy places the organism in Eukaryota, Metazoa, Chordata, Actinopteri, Moronidae. The record is from RefSeq and is a predicted model, not a curated record. The transcript has 2 exons.